GCAUUUUCUCACUUGAGGUUCCCUCUUCCCAGAUGACCCUGGUGUCAAGUUGAUGAAAACCUAGCCAGCACAGGGGAGCCGAGAGGCUCCAGUGGGUGGCCCUAGACCCUUUCUCAAACCAAAGGUGUCUUCCUUGGAGAGCUGUUCACCUGAGAUCAGCUGAGGUAUCUCCUCUGAAACAUACGUGCCGUUGUCUGACUGGGCUGAGUGAGCAGCCCUGUCCGUGAACACGUGCACUGGUGUCCUUCUUUCUGCAGUCAUUCUAAGGAGCAGUGACGAGUGGAGGUGCACGGCUUCUAUUCUUGCUCAAGCCUCUUUGCCUUCACGUCCACCUAACCCUCUUUUCUGAGUCUCACUCCCUGAGUGUUCACUGCAUGCCGACUUGCACGUCCCCAGCUCUGAGAAGGAACCUGCAGGCUGCAGUCUCAGAAGGCUGAUGAACUUUUGGAUCCGUGGCCAAAGAGAACAAAGGGCCUUCCUUUGCUGUGUGUGGGAGGACCCAUGGUGGAAAGAUGGCUCCCUCUCUGUGUGUGUCCUGAAGGGUUCUGAACUAUAAACCAGCCUUUUCAGGUUAUUAUGGUCGUUCCCUCCCAAAGCAAGAGGCUCAACCACAGAUUGCUCUGUAGUUGGUAAGUGUAAUAAGAACAUCUGUGACAAAGACUCUAUUCUCCUCUGUGACAAUGUAAGCAUGGCCUAAAAGGACCAGAGCUGUACUUGAUGGAAUGAAUAAGGAGAAUGAGCUGGGGAGAACACAGGAGGACUUCUUUGCCCAUUCCCAAAAUGAUGGCUUCAUGGAAAACUUACUGAAGAGGC
Molecule: long non-coding RNA, 813 nt
Organism: Mus pahari (shrew mouse)
Lineage: Eukaryota; Metazoa; Chordata; Mammalia; Rodentia; Muridae
Exons: 3
Source: RefSeq, a predicted model, not a curated record